GCCGCUGGGGGGCCCGGUGUCGCCCAGCUGGGGUCCGGGGCGCACCCCGUUAAGGGCAGGAUUCCGCUUCUAGGAAAAAACCCGCAGCGGCGCUGACACAGGUCCAUUAUUUUAUUGCCUGUCUGUCUCCUCUGUUAGACUAUAAGCUCCAUGGAGGUAAGGAUUUUGCUUUGUUUACCGCUCCAGAGUCCCAGCAUGAAUCUGACAUACACAGAAAAGGACUGCAGUAAAUGUCUCAUUGGAGAAAGAAACAGACAGAGCUGAACUCCAUGAUAUGAAGAUGAAGUUAGCUCAGGAGGUUGUAUCUUCUUUUGAAUCAUGGACUACACAUUUGAGAAUGUAUGGAACUCAAGAGCCCCAGCAAAAUGAGUGACUGCAGGAAUAGACUUCUCUAGUCACUAUCAAAAGUGAAUCCUGACUUUGAAGACUGAUGUUUCAAACAAGAAUCUCAUGAAAUCUGUGGAUCACGUGGCCAAGAAUCUGUGCAUAGACACACAACACUGAGCUGCAAAAAACUCCAUUGUACCAGAGGCUAAGUUAAUCAAAACUAUGUGGGUGAUGAUGUUGUAUGACCUUCCUUCCUUUCUUCCUUCCUCCCUCCCUCCC
This is a long non-coding RNA of Fukomys damarensis (Damara mole-rat), 606 nucleotides long. RefSeq lists it as uncharacterized. The transcript has 4 exons. NCBI's taxonomy places the organism in Eukaryota, Metazoa, Chordata, Mammalia, Rodentia, Bathyergidae. The record is from RefSeq and is a predicted model, not a curated record.